This 414-nucleotide ribosomal RNA is filed under the name uncultured bacterium. Its description in RNAcentral is "bacterial SSU rRNA". It matches the Rfam family "Bacterial small subunit ribosomal RNA", at positions 1 to 376 of the family's 1533-position model. The record is from RNAcentral.
AUUACCGUACUCGCGUAAUGCAUCUAGAUUNGACGUUGGAUCUAUGGCUCANCAGNUGAACGCUCGGCGUGUCAAGCCUAACACAUGCAAGUCGAACGGCUGCACAGGAGAGCUUGCUCUCUGGGUGGCGAGUGGCGGACGGGUGAGGAAUACAUCGGAAUCUACUCUGUCGUGGGGGAUAACGUAGGGAAACUUACGCUAAUACCGCAUACGACCUACGGGUGAAAGCAGGGGAUCUUCGGACCUUGCGCGAUUGAAUGAGCCGAUGUCGGAUUAGCUAGUUGGCGGGGUAAAGGCCCACCAAGGCGACGAUCCGUAGCUGGUCUGAGAGGAUGAUCAGCCACACUGGAACCCUUGGAAGAACACGGUCCAGACUCCUACGGGAGGCAGCUGGGGAUAUGGUGGGGUGUUGUU